This 439-nucleotide ribosomal RNA is filed under the name uncultured bacterium. Its description in RNAcentral is "bacterial SSU rRNA". It matches the Rfam family "Bacterial small subunit ribosomal RNA", at positions 331 to 784 of the family's 1533-position model. The record is from RNAcentral.
CCAGACUCCUACGGGAGGCAGCAGUGGGGAAUAUUGGGCAAUGGGCGCAAGCCUGACCCAGCAACGCCGCGUGAAGGAAGAAGGCUCUCGGGUUGUAAACGUCUUUUAUCAGGGACGAAGCAAGUGACGGUACCUGAUGAAUAAGCCACGGCUAACUACGUGCCAGCAGCCGCGGUAAUACGUAGGUGGCACGCGUUGCCCGGAUUUACUGGGUGUAAAGGGCGUGUAGCCGGGCUGACAAGUCAGAUGUGAAAUCCGGGGGCUCAACCCCCGAACUGCAUUUGAAACUGUGGGUCUUGAGUAUCGGAGAGGCAGGCGGAAUUCCUAGUGUAGCGGUGAAAUGCGUAGAUAUUAGGAGGAACACCAGUGCCGAAGGAGGCCUGCUGGACGACAACUGACGGUGAGGCGCGAAAGCGUGGGGAGCAAACAGGAUUAGAUA